CGAACGUGGGGAACCUGCCCCAUAGUCUGGGAUACCACUUGGAAACAGGUGCUAAUACCGGAUAAGAAAGCGGAUCGCAUGAUCAGCUUUUAAAAGGCGGCGUAAGCUGUCGCUAUGGGAUGGCCCCGCGGUGCAUUAGCUAGUUGGUAAGGUAAAGGCUUACCAAGGCAUGAUGCAUAGCCGAGUUGAGAGACUGAUCGGCCACAUUGGGACUGAGACACGGCCCAAACUCCUACGGGAGGCAGCAGCGC
This 251-nucleotide ribosomal RNA is filed under the name uncultured Lactobacillus sp. RNAcentral's name for it is "partial 16S ribosomal RNA". It matches the Rfam family "Bacterial small subunit ribosomal RNA", at positions 112 to 356 of the family's 1533-position model. The record is from RNAcentral. Lineage: Bacteria; Bacillati; Bacillota; Bacilli; Lactobacillales; Lactobacillaceae.